Long non-coding RNA from Capsicum annuum, 532 nucleotides. RefSeq lists it as uncharacterized. The record is from RefSeq and is a predicted model, not a curated record. The transcript is spliced from 2 exons. NCBI's taxonomy places the organism in Eukaryota, Viridiplantae, Streptophyta, Magnoliopsida, Solanales, Solanaceae.
AUGUGACAACCUUAAGGAAAUUCCAAUAGAUUUUGGAGAAAUUUGUAGUUUGGAGUCGAUUGAAUUACAUAAUUGCAGCACUUCUGCUGAGGAUUCUGCAAGAAAGAUUGAACAAGAGCAAGAGGACAUGGGAAACAAUUGCCUUAAAGUCUACAUCCAUACAUAACACUCAAUGAUCCUGAGUCCACACAUCAUCUCUUCUUUAUAUGUCCGGGGCAAUAUGGCGUAAGCUAUAGGUUUGAAGUUUGGCGCAGGUAAGGAGCUGAAGUAUAUCGCAUGGUGUUAGCAGCUGCAGCACAUCAAAUCUGGCAUGUGAGAAACCAAAUCAGUUUUAAGACCAUAGCUUGACCACCACAAACCAUGGUUCGACUGAUCGUGCAAAAGGUGCAUCACAGGGCAAAAGGUGCUCGUAGUAGAACUCAUGUCAUCUGGAUAGUGUAGAGGAUUAGGUGUUUCUAACUUUUAGUUUUAUAUAAAUGACUAGAACAAGAACUAACAAAUUAAAAAUUAUGACAUCAGAUGCCUUCUGCAA